This 70-nucleotide non-coding RNA is filed under the name unclassified sequences. RNAcentral's name for it is "potC RNA". It matches the Rfam family "potC RNA". The record is from RNAcentral.
GACGGGGUGCUCGCAAUCUUUCUCCAUUAGGAUUCUUACCCUUUCCUAAUCUGAUCGUGAGCACCUUAAA